This 216-nucleotide long non-coding RNA is filed under the name Phaseolus vulgaris (common bean). RNAcentral's name for it is "long non-coding RNA (PVUL_LNC001691)". Lineage: Eukaryota; Viridiplantae; Streptophyta; Magnoliopsida; Fabales; Fabaceae. The record is from RNAcentral.
AAAAGUGCACUCCGUACCAUUAAGGGUACAGACAGGCGCAGCCCAGCGCAGAGACGCGCGGACACGCACAGACACCCACACUCUCUGAUUCUGCAGGUACACUGUCUCUGAAAAGCAUAACAGGUUUCUGACACAUGCCAGAAAAGCAUAACAGAAUUCUGUUAUGCCCAGAAACAGAGACAGAGAGAUAAAAGGAGGAAUCAGGGAGAGAAGUGG